Molecule: ribosomal RNA, 504 nt
Filed under: uncultured eukaryote
Lineage: Eukaryota
Description: bacterial SSU rRNA
Rfam family: Eukaryotic small subunit ribosomal RNA
Source: RNAcentral
UAGUCAUACCUUUGCAUCAAAAAUUUACCCUUGCAUGUGUCAAAUUAAAAAAAUUAAUCUUGAAUCUGCAAAUGGCUCAUUAUAUCAUUUAUAGUUUACACGGUAAUCAAAACCUACACGGAUAACUGUGGCAAUUCUAAAGCUAAUACGUGCGUCAAGACUUUUCCCGCUUUGGGGGAGUGUUGUAUUUAUUAUUUGUAAAACCAACUCUGCGCAAGCAGGUUUGUGGUGAAUCAUAAUAAUUGCACCGAACCGCAUGUCUCACGACGGCGGUGAACCGUUCAAGUUUCUGCCCUAUUACCUUUCAAAGGUCGUGUAUUGAACACCCUUGGCUUUGAUGGUUGACGAAAAAUUAGGGUUCGAUUCCGGAGAGGGAGCCUUAAAACCGGCUCCUACAUCCAAGGAAGGCAGCAGGGGCAAAACGUACCUAAUCCUGAUUCAGGAAGGUCGUGACAAUGUAUAUUAAUGAGGUGCUUUUUAAGUACUUCAUUUGAAUUGAGUACA